Molecule: ribosomal RNA, 252 nt
Filed under: uncultured bacterium
Lineage: Bacteria
Description: partial 16S ribosomal RNA
Rfam family: Bacterial small subunit ribosomal RNA
Source: RNAcentral
UACAGAGGGGGCAAGCGUUGUUCGGAAUUACUGGGCGUAAAGGCGCGUAGGCGGCCUGUUAAGUCGAACGUGAAAUCCCUGGGCUCAACCCAGGAACUGCGUCCGAUACUGGCAGGCUUGAAUUCGGGAGAGGGAUGCGGAAUUCCAGGUGUAGCGGUGAAAUGCGUAGAUAUCUGGAGGAACACCGGUGGCGAAGGCGGCAUCCUGGACCGAGAUUGACGCUGAGGCGCGAAAGCCAGGGGAGCAAACGGG